Long non-coding RNA from Hyaena hyaena (striped hyena), 556 nucleotides. RefSeq lists it as uncharacterized. The transcript has 3 exons. NCBI's taxonomy places the organism in Eukaryota, Metazoa, Chordata, Mammalia, Carnivora, Hyaenidae. The record is from RefSeq and is a predicted model, not a curated record.
CACCUUGGCGCCAAGAUGUACCGUCGUUGAACAACUAUUUAAUGAACGUGUGCGAUGUGCUAAGCCCUGUGAAGAUACUGCGGCUGCUGGGUUAUAAUAGCUACUUCGGAAUACUCAUUAGGUCUUACGGGGUUCACUUCCCAGAAAUAUCUCUCUAAUUCAACUCCCAAGGCCAGAACGAAUGAUGCUCACAAAGAACUAGGAAGAGACUUAGUCAUGUUGCACAGUCGGAGGAUAAAACAAUAUGCAAACGUGAGGCCUUUCAACAAAGUGCUUUAUUGGAGGACACAGGGUUCUUGUGUUCGCUGUUAUACGGGGCCUUUGAAAAGCACAUGGCAGCAUUGCGGUCGCAGUUGCAGAUGAAGGCCUCGCAGGGUUUGUUUUUGUCUGGAAAAGAGCAAGAGGAGAGGACUGAGCCAAGGUAGAUCCUGCGUUGUCCAAUCGGGGGCAGGAGGAAUGAGCUGGAAUAAUGGCCACUGCAUUUAUACAGAUUUAGGUUUGACAGAUCAAGUAAAUAAAAGAUACCAAAAUUUCAGAUAAACAAAAAAAAUACAGU